GGGCCCGCACAAGCGGUGGAGCAUGUGGUUUAAUUCGAUGAUACGCGAGGAACCUUACCAGGGCUUAAAUGUAGUGGGACAGGUCUAGAGAUAGACCCUUCUUCGGACUCAUUACAAGGUGCUGCAUGGUUGUCGUCAGCUCGUGCCGUGAGGUGUCAGGUUAAGUCCUAUAACGAGCGCAACCCCUGUUGUUAGUUGCCAGCGAGUAAUGUCGGGAACUCUAGCAAGACUGCCAGUGCAAACUGUGAGGAAGGUGGGGAUGACGUCAAAUCAUCACGGCCCUUACGUCCUGGGCUACACACGUGCUACAAUGCUACGGACAAAGGGCAGCAAGUUCGCGAGGACAAGCAAAUCCCAUAAACCGUGGCUCAGUUCAGAUCGUAGGCUGCAACUCGCCUACGUGAAGGCGGAAUCGCUAGUAAUCG
This 425-nucleotide ribosomal RNA is filed under the name uncultured bacterium. RNAcentral's name for it is "bacterial SSU rRNA". It matches the Rfam family "Bacterial small subunit ribosomal RNA", at positions 917 to 1344 of the family's 1533-position model. The record is from RNAcentral.